RNAcentral lists this ribosomal RNA (490 nucleotides) under uncultured bacterium. Its description in RNAcentral is "partial 16S ribosomal RNA". It matches the Rfam family "Bacterial small subunit ribosomal RNA", at positions 30 to 507 of the family's 1533-position model. The record is from RNAcentral.
AUUGAACGCUGGCGGCAGGCCUAACACAUGCAAGUCGAACGGUAACAGGAAGAAGCUUGCUUCUUUGCUGACGAGUGGCGGACGGGUGAGUAAUGUCUGGGAAACUGCCUGAUGGAGGGGGAUAACUACUGGAAACGGUAGCUAAUACCGCAUAACGUCGCAAGACCAAAGAGGGGGACCUUCGGGCCUCUUGCCAUCGGAUGUGCCCAGAUGGGAUUAGCUAGUAGGUGGGGUAACGGCUCACCUAGGCGACGAUCCCUAGCUGGUCUGAGAGGAUGACCAGCCACACUGGAACUGAGACACGGUCCAGACUCCUACGGGAGGCAGCUGUGGGGAAUAUUGCACAAUGGGCGCAAGCCUGAUGCAGCCAUGCCGCGUGUAUGAAGAAGGCCUUCGGGUUGUAAAGUACUUUCAGCGGGGAGGAAGGGAGUAAAGUUAAUACCUUUACUCAUUGACGUUACCCGCAGAAGAAGCACCGGCUAACUCCGUG